Molecule: long non-coding RNA, 223 nt
Organism: Bombina bombina (fire-bellied toad)
Lineage: Eukaryota; Metazoa; Chordata; Amphibia; Anura; Bombinatoridae
Exons: 3
Source: RefSeq, a predicted model, not a curated record
AGGAGGUUUCCACCUUGGCCGUAGAGGUUUCGCUGAUUGAACUCUCUUCUGGACAAACUGAUCAACUUGUGGUAUCCAAGCUGAUAAAAGAUAUUAUCUCCCUUGAGACUGCAGCAUGCAAAGGUGAAAUUAACACAUUGAAAUCAGAUAUGUUUGGAAGAGCAGCCGGCAGUCGACCUGAAACCUGUUAUCAGUGAGCUGGGACACUGCGAUAUCCUAUCUG